RNAcentral lists this ribosomal RNA (733 nucleotides) under uncultured bacterium. RNAcentral describes it as "bacterial SSU rRNA". It matches the Rfam family "Bacterial small subunit ribosomal RNA", at positions 9 to 709 of the family's 1533-position model. The record is from RNAcentral.
GAGUUUGAACCUGGCUCAGGACGAACGCUGGCGGCGUGCCUAAUACAUGCAAGUCGAGCGAGCUGAACCAGCAGAUUCACUUCGGUGAUGACGCUGGGAACGCGAGCGGCGGAUGGGUGAGUAACACGUGGGUAACCUGCCCUAAAGUCUGGGAUACCACUUGGAAACAGGUGCUAAUACCGGAUAACAACAAUAGCUGCAUGGCUAUUGCUUAAAAGGCGGCGAAAGCUGUCGCUAAAGGAUGGACCCGCGGUGCAUUAGCUAGUUGGUAAGGUAAUGGCUUACCAAGGCGACGAUGCAUAGCCGAGUUGAGAGACUGAUCGGCCACAUUGGGUCUGAGACACGGCCCAAACUCCUACGGGAGGCAGCAGUAGGGAAUCUUCCACAAUGGGCGAAAGCCUGAUGGAGCAACGCCGCGUGAGUGAAGAAGGUUUUCGGAUCGUAAAGCUCUGUUGUUGGUGAAGAAGGAUAGAGGUAGUAACUGGCCCCUAUUUGACGGUAAUCAACCAGAAAGUCACGGCUAACUACGUGCCAGCAGCCGCGGUAAUACGUAGGUGGCAAGCGUUGUCCGGAUUUAUUGGGCGUAAAGCGAGCGCAGGCGGAAAGAUAAGUCUGAUGUGAAAGCCCCCGGCUUAACCGAGGAAUUGCAUCGGAAACUGUGUUUCUUGAGUGCAGAAGAGGAGAGUGGAACUCCAUGUGUAGCGGUGGAAUGCGUAGAUAUAUGGAAGAACAC